GACGAACGCUGGCGGCGUGCUUAACACAUGCAAGUCGAACGGAAAGGCCUCUUUCGGGGGGUACUCGAGUGGCGAACGGGUGAGUAACACGUGAGUAACCUGCCCUUGACUUUGGGAUAACUUCAGGAAACUGGGGCUAAUACCGGAUAGGAGCUCCUGCUGCAUGGUGGGGGUUGGAAAGUUUCGGCGGUUGGGGAUGGACUCGCGGCUUAUCAGCUUGUUGGUGGGGUAGUGGCUUACCAAGGCUUUGACGGGUAGCCGGCCUGAGAGGGUGACCGGCCACAUUGGGACUGAGAUACGGCCCAGACUCCUACGGGAGGCAGCAGUGGGGAAUAUUGCACAAUGGGUGGAAGCCUGAUGCAGCAACGCCGUGUGCGGGAUGACGGCCUUCGAGUUGUAAACCGCUUUCGCUCAUGACGAAGCUUUGUGUGACGGUAGUGGGUAAAGAAGCACCGGCUAACUACGUG
This 467-nucleotide ribosomal RNA is filed under the name uncultured bacterium. RNAcentral's name for it is "partial 16S ribosomal RNA". It matches the Rfam family "Bacterial small subunit ribosomal RNA", at positions 28 to 507 of the family's 1533-position model. The record is from RNAcentral.